Molecule: ribosomal RNA, 497 nt
Filed under: uncultured bacterium
Lineage: Bacteria
Description: partial 16S ribosomal RNA
Rfam family: Bacterial small subunit ribosomal RNA
Source: RNAcentral
GAUGAACGCUGGCGGCGUGCCUAAUACAUGCAAGUCGAGCGAACGGACGAGAAGCUUGCUUCUCUGAUGUUAGCGGCGGACGGGUGAGUAACACGUGGAUAACCUACCUAUAAGACUGGGAUAACUUCGGGAAACCGGAGCUAAUACCGGAUAAUAUUUUGAACCGCAUGGUUCAAAAGUGAAAGACGGUCUUGCUGUCACUUAUAGAUGGAUCCGCGCUGCAUUAGCUAGUUGGUAAGGUAACGGCUUACCAAGGCAACGAUGCAUAGCCGACCUGGGAGAGUGAUCGGCGACACUGGAACUGAAACACGGUCCAGACUCCUACGGGAGGCAGCAGAAGGGAAUCUUCCGCAAUGGGCGAAAGCCUGACGGAGCAACGCCGCGUGAGUGAUGAAGGUCUUCGGAUCGUAAAACUCUGUUAUUAGGGAAGAACAUAUGUGUAAGUAACUGUGCACAUCUUGACGGUACCUAAUCAGAAAGCCACGGCUAACUACGUG